GGCGAUAGUAAGCACCGCCUCUGCCACGACCUUAUCGCCUCCAUCUGCACUGCGCUCGCCCGCGCCCGCUCCUAGUCCUCCUCCUCCGACGUCAACACCGACAAAUGCAAAGGAAGAGAAGGUGACGCUACCCUCGUUACCGUUGUCGAUCGCCGCGGAGACGAUGGAGGAGAGUUGGAGAGGAAAAAAAGAACGAGAGAGAAAUAAAAAGGAGAGAGAAAAAGGAAUAAGAAUAUUUUGGUAAGUAUACUGAAAAUUUUAAAUUAAUCUGCAAAAUUCAAAAAAAUAAUUCAUUUUUUG
This 300-nucleotide long non-coding RNA is filed under the name Ananas comosus (pineapple). RNAcentral describes it as "long non-coding RNA (ACOM_LNC025567)". Lineage: Eukaryota; Viridiplantae; Streptophyta; Magnoliopsida; Poales; Bromeliaceae. The record is from RNAcentral.